RNAcentral lists this ribosomal RNA (479 nucleotides) under uncultured Pelotomaculum sp. Its description in RNAcentral is "bacterial SSU rRNA". It matches the Rfam family "Bacterial small subunit ribosomal RNA", at positions 906 to 1382 of the family's 1533-position model. Lineage: Bacteria; Bacillati; Bacillota; Clostridia; Eubacteriales; Desulfotomaculaceae. The record is from RNAcentral.
GGAAUUGACGGGGGCCCGGCACAAGCGGUGGAGCAUGUGGUUUAAUUCGACGCAACGCGAAGAACCUUACCGGGCUUGACAUCCCCUGACCGCGUAUGAAAGUACGUUUUCACCCUCGGGUGACAGGGAGACAGGUGGUGCAUGGUUGUCGUCAGCUCGUGUCGUGAGAUGUUGGGUUAAGUCCCGCAACGAGCGCAACCCCUACGUUUAGUUGCUAACGCGUGAAGGCGAGCACUCUAGACGAACUGCCGUUGACAAAACGGAGGAAGGUGGGGAUGACGUCAAAUCAUCAUGCCCCUUAUGUUCUGGGCUACACACGUGCUACAAUGGCCGGUACAGACGGACGCAAAGCCGCGAGGUGGAGCAAAUCCUAAAAAGCCGGUCUCAGUUCGGAUUGCAGGCUGCAAUUCGCCUGCAUGAAGUCGGAAUCGCUAGUAAUCGCAGGUCAGCAUACUGCGGUGAAUACGUUCCCGGGCCUU